GCGCCCGUAGCUCAGUCGGAUAGAGCGUCUGCCUCCGGAGCAGAAGGUCGCACGUUCGAGUCGUGCCGGGCGCGCCA
Molecule: transfer RNA, 77 nt
Filed under: Alphaproteobacteria bacterium
Lineage: Bacteria; Pseudomonadati; Pseudomonadota; Alphaproteobacteria
Description: tRNA-Arg
Rfam family: tRNA
About the family: Transfer RNA (tRNA) molecules are approximately 80 nucleotides in length.
Source: RNAcentral